Molecule: long non-coding RNA, 1059 nt
Filed under: Lynx pardinus (Iberian lynx)
Lineage: Eukaryota; Metazoa; Chordata; Mammalia; Carnivora; Felidae
Source: RNAcentral
GAAACGCUACACGCAGCGUGGGCCUCGUGUAAGUGUCUCUGCAGAGGGUUUGCACGGGUCGGGGCUGCCCUGGCAAGGAAGGGAUAACCCAGGAUAGCAGAUGCAGAGGGGUGACUAGUAUCCCCCCGCCCCCGCCAAAUUCAGGUCCACUCAGAAGCUCAGAACGUGACCUUCUGGAAAGAGGGUCUUCGCAGAUGUGACUAAGGUUAAGGCUCCAGAAUGAGACCCUCGUGGAUCAGGACGAGCCCUGAGUCCAAUGCCACACACCCCCCCCCAACACACAGAGGUUGAACAGAUGCGGCUACGAGCCAAAGACCCCCAGUGCCAGCCCCCGACACCAGCAGCGGGAAGGGGCAGGGGCAGGAGACAAACACACACACACACACACACACCCCAGGACCUCAGAGAGAGACAGCCCUGCCCCAUCCUGGAUUUCAGACUUCUGGCCUCCAGAACCACGAGACCAUACAUUUCUGCUGUUUCAGGCUGACAGAUUUUAUGGUGAUUUCCUGCAGCAGCCACAGAACACUGCGACAAAUGGAAAGGAAAGGGUCGCACGGGGCUCAGGCAGGAUCCUUGCCCGGGUCUGCUCACUCUGGGUCUGGAGACGUCUUCGCGUAGACACUUGGUUACGGGCGCGCCCGCGGGCAAACCACAACGCUGGGAAUCCCUCUCCUGCCGAGAUCUGUUGGUUCCGGAGAGAUCGUGCCUCCGGGUGUGAGAAACAACCAGUACAGAUCAUUUCAGUGAUUUGCCCCCAAGGUUUCCGAACUGAGAAGAAGGGUGGACGCUGACGACGGAGCAGAGGCUGGGGCAAGGCGGCGCCCGUCCCUCUGGCCUCGCGCUGCACGCCUCGGUCAGAGAAGGGCGGUGUGGCCUGGGGGGUAGGGCCAUCCCAGGCGAGGCCCCGCCGUGCCACAGCGACACCAUCACACGGGGCCUGCCGGUCCACCCGGCAACCGAGGGAUUUGGCCACAGCCUCCCGCCCUUCCUUCCAGAGCUGAGACCCAGAGAUGCACAAUAAUUUGAAAUCCUCCUUCUCUCAGUGUUUAUAGAGUA